GGUUAAGUUAGAAAGGGCGCACGGUGGAUGCCUUGGCACUAGGAGCCGAUGAAGGACGGGACGAACACCGAUAUGCUUCGGGGAGCUGUAAGCAAGCUUUGAUCCGGAGAUUUCCGAAUGGGGAAACCCACUGCUCGUAAUGGAGUAGUAUCCAUACUUGAAUACAUAGAGUAUGAGAAGGCAUACCCGGGGAACUGAAACAUCUAAGUACCCGGAGGAAGAGAAAGCAAAUGCGAUUCCCUGAGUAGCGGCGAGCGAAACGGGAACAGCCCAAACCAAGAGGCUUGCCUCGUGGGGUUGUAGGACACUCUAUACGGAGUUACAAAGGAAUGAUAUAAGCGAAGAGGUCUGGAAAGGCCCGCCAGAGAAGGUAACAGCCCUGUAACUGAAAUGUCAUUCCCUCCAGAGUGGAUCCUGAGUACGGCGGACCACGUGAAAUUCCGUCGGAAUCCGGGAGGACCAUCUCCCAAGGCUAACUACUCCCUAGUGACCGAUAGUGAACCAGUACCGGGAGGGAAAGGUGAAAAGCACCCCGGAAGGGGAGUGAAAUAGAUCCUGAAACCGUGUGCCUACAAGUAGUCAGAGCCCGUUAACGGGUGAUGGCGUGCCUUUUGUAGAAUGAACCGGCGAGUUACGAUCCCGUGCAAGGUUAAGCAGAAGAUGCGGAGCCGCAGCGAAAGCGAGUCUGAAUAGGGCGCAUGAGUACGUGGUCGUAGACCCGAAACCAGGUGAUCUACCCAUGUCCAGGGUGAAGUUCAGGUAACACUGAAUGGAGGCCCGAACCCACGCACGUUGAAAAGUGCGGGGAUGAGGUGUGGGUAGGGGUGAAAUGCCAAUCGAACCUGGAGAUAGCUGGUUCUCUCCGAAAUAGCUUUAGGGCUAGCCUCAAGGUAAGAGUCUCGGAGGUAGAGCACUGAUUGGACUAGGGGCCCCUACCGGGUUACCGAAUUCAGUCAAACUCCGAAUGCCGAUGACUUAUCCUUGGGAGUCAGACUGCGAGUGAUAAGAUCCGUAGUCGAAAGGGAAACAGCCCAGACCGCCAGCUAAGGUCCCAAAGUAUACGUUAAGUGGAAAAGGAUGUGGAGUUGCUUAGACAACCAGGAUGUUGGCUUAGAAGCAGCCACCAUUUAAAGAGUGCGUAAUAGCUCACUGGUCGAGUGACUCUGCGCCGAAAAUGUACCGGGGCUAAACGUAUCACCGAAGCUGCGGACUGUUCUUACGAACAGUGGUAGGAGAGCGUUCUAAGGGCUGUGAAGCCAGACCGGAAGGACUGGUGGAGCGCUUAGAAGUGAGAAUGCCGGUAUGAGUAGCGAAAGACGGGUGAGAAUCCCGUCCACCGAAUGCCUAAGGUUUCCUGAGGAAGGCUCGUCCGCUCAGGGUUAGUCGGGACCUAAGCCGAGGCCGAAAGGCGUAGGCGAUGGACAACAGGUUGAUAUUCCUGUACCACCUCCUCACCAUUUGAGCAAUGGGGGGACGCAGGAGGAUAGGGUAAGCGCGGUCUUGGAUAUCCGCGUCCAAGCAGUUAGGCUGGGAAAUAGGCAAAUCCGUUUCCCGUAAAGGCUGAGCUGUGAUGGCGAGCGAAAUUUAGUAGCGAAGUUCCUGAUUCCACACUGCCAAGAAAAGCCUCUAGCGAGGUGAGAGGUGCCCGUACCGCAAACCGACACAGGUAGGCGAGGAGAGAAUCCUAAGGUGAUCGAGAGAACUCUCGUUAAGGAACUCGGCAAAAUGACCCCGUAACUUCGGGAGAAGGGGUGCUUCUUAGGGUGUUAAAGCCCCGAGAAGCCGCAGUGAAUAGGCCCAGGCGACUGUUUAGCAAAAACACAGGUCUCUGCGAAGCCGUAAGGCGAAGUAUAGGGGCUGACGCCUGCCCGGUGCUGGAAGGUUAAGAGGAGCGCUUAGCGUAAGCGAAGGUGCGAAUUGAAGCCCCAGUAAACGGCGGCCGUAACUAUAACGGUCCUAAGGUAGCGAAAUUCCUUGUCGGGUAAGUUCCGACCCGCACGAAAGGCGCAACGAUCUGGGCACUGUCUCAACGAGAGACUCGGUGAAAUUAUAGUACCUGUGAAGAUGCAGGUUACCCGCGACAGGACGGAAAGACCCCGUGGAGCUUUACUGCAGCCUGAUAUUGAAUGUUGGUACAGCUUGUACAGGAUAGGUAGGAGCCUUGGAAACCGGAGCGCUAGCUUCGGUGGAGGCAUCGGUGGGAUACUACCCUGGCUGUAUUGACCUUCUAACCCGCUGCCCUUAUCGGGCAGGGAGACAGUGUCAGGUGGGCAGUUUGACUGGGGCGGUCGCCUCCUAA
Molecule: ribosomal RNA, 2299 nt
Filed under: Bacillus pumilus
Lineage: Bacteria; Bacillati; Bacillota; Bacilli; Caryophanales; Bacillaceae
Description: partial 23S ribosomal RNA
Rfam family: Bacterial large subunit ribosomal RNA
Source: RNAcentral